Molecule: non-coding RNA, 3866 nt
Organism: Solanum lycopersicum (tomato)
Lineage: Eukaryota; Viridiplantae; Streptophyta; Magnoliopsida; Solanales; Solanaceae
Source: RefSeq, a predicted model, not a curated record
AAUUAGGAGAGAUGAGUGUUACGAAGAGAAAAGUGAAUUUUCAGAAAAAAAAAUAGGGAUUAAAUUAAUGAUAAAAUAUUCGAUUGAGGAUGAAGAAACAGAAUUCUUCGUUCUGUUCUCCACCUUAGAAGUUUGUGAAAUUAUCCCUUUAACAAUAACUACAUUUUUCUUCAAGGUGAGGAAGCGCUAAGGGAAUACCAAUAGAGUGGGAGAAGAUAUUCAACAGCGACGACUCUCCGGCGGAGCUGGUGGUUAACUACGCCUUACCACGGCUGCCUGCUGAAAAACAGUAAUCGAUCACCAUGGAAGGAGAAGAGCUAAAAGAAGGACUUUCGAAUUUAUCAGAUACAGAAUUGACCGACAAAAUUGCUAGGCUAAAAAAAUCUCUGUUUAGCAACAUUGGUGUUAGGUUACCGAUGGAGGUGAAAAGUAUAGGGCAAAUAUCAAACUGCAGGAGGAUGAAUUAGAAUGGAGGAAACGGGUCGGUUCCGGUCAGGUGCACCUUAUAACUUCGAGCCACAGGCUUCACCAUCUGUGUCCUCUUCAUAGUCCACCUUUGCUGUUUGGUUUUUGAACAGGCAGAGUCUAAGCCAGCCAAUGCUUUCCAAGAAGAAAUACAUGUGACCACAAAAGUACAUCAAACAACCAGUUUUCACAAAGAAAAAGAUACAAGCGAGAGUUAUUGUCAAGGAAGAACCUUAUAAGUCUCCUGUAGACAAAGGUGAACAAGUUCUGAAUGUUGAUCUAAAAGGAUGGGAUCCUUCUACUCGUUCUACAGAAAAUAUCGCCAGCUUUUUCGUGGAGAAGGUUGAUCCUGAAUCUGUUGAAAUUUGUUGUUCGGACAUGGAAUCUCUAGCACCUGAAGCAUAUUUUUCAUCGACUAUAAUGAAUUUCUACAUCCGGUACCUCCAGAAGACAAAACAUCAUGCAGAUGUCGAUGAGUAUCACUUUUUCAAUACAUAUUUUUACCAGAAGCUCAAAGAGGCUGUAUUGAGCAAGUCUUCAUUGGAGCCUGGUUAUAAUUUGCAUACCAGAUAAAGAAGAUGAAGUGGGGCCAAUCUUACUUCACUUGGAUUUAUUAGGUCUUCACUGCAGCAAGUCCCUCUUUGCUACCAUAAGAAAAUUUUUGGUAGAAGAAUGGAAAUUCUUAAGACAAGGAGAAGUGAUAUGGGAAAAUCUUCCACGAAGGAUUGAUGAAAACAUCAUUCAGGUCCCACAACAAAGAAAUGAGUAUGACUGCAGUCUGUUUGUUCUUUUCUUUAUGGAGCAUUUCUUUGACGAAGUUCAUAGAAGGGUUAAAAAGAAGGAUUUCACCAUGUUUGGAAGAAGGUGGUUCAAACCUGCAGAAGCCUCUUGUUUGAGGAUGAAAAUCCGCAGAAUACUGGAGGAAGAAUUCAAGAAUGUGAGUGAGAAUGAUUGAUAUUUUCAGGAUUGCUACUGUGUACAGGUAAUUACUCUUGCUCAAAGAAAUCCACUAGCAGUUUUUCAGCAUAGACUACUGUCGUCAGUCACACAUCAACCAUAAACAGGCAGAGGAUUUAGUAGAAUUGAUAUUGACCCAUCCAAUGGGAAGGAGAAAUACACUAGACUUCCCUGGGAAAUAUAUAUAUUGUACAUAAAUCAUAAUUGAACAAUCACCAAGGGGAAAAACAGAACAUUUGGGCGAUGCAUCGAUAUUGACCAUGUCCCUCUCCAUUCAUCCAACGAUUCCAGCCUCCACCCUUUGAUCAUCCCACCUUCAAACCCUCAAUCCCCACCCAUCCCCGUAGUGUUUUGCUAGAUUGCAUAUAUGACUUUUGUUUCAAUUUGAUCGUCCUGUUUUGUCUUCGCACUAAAUUUUCGAACGUAAAGAAAGUUUUUAAAUCUCGUGGUCUUAAAUUAAAAAUAUGUAGAAUGUACCAGAAGAGUGAUUUCUCAAAGAAUAAUAAAAUAAAAUAAAAGAAUGGUCCUAAACCUAUGUAUACAAGCUUCUAUGACCAAAGUUAGUUAGUCUAUUGUACAUUAUAAUCCGUUCGGUCUAAUGAAAGUGAAAACAACCCUUUUGUGCAACUUGAGAUGUGUCAAUGGCUUCUAACAUGAGCAUCACCUCCUUCAUCUCUGGCCUCUCUUUUGGGUCUGCAUGCCAACAUUGCUUCAUUAUGUUGGCCACAACACUUGGACAUUUGUUUGGUAUUUCUGGCCUUAGACUCUAAAAUUUCAAAAAAUAUAUCAGUGAUUGAUAUUAUUUUAACAUUAGCUAUAAAGAAUAUAACAUAAAAAUUGAAAAUAUACCUUGUAUUUACAUGGACUUGUGUCAGAAGAAGGAAUUUUUCCAUUAUAUGGAAUAGAACAACAAUAUAUCUCCCACAAGCAAAUUCCAAAACUAUAGACAUCACAUUUAUGAUCAUAUGGUACACCAAUAAGUACCUGCAUAUACAAAAUAAGACAAUAAAAUUAGUAUAAGUAAUAGAGAAUUCAAUCUUUUGUUCCUUCAUGUAAAUAAAAAAAAAAAAUACUAUAAGAAUGAGAUAUCUCACCUCAGGAGCCAUGUAACCAAUGGUACCAAUUUGGGCAGUCAUGUCAAGAGGACAUGAAGAUUCAAUUCGAGAAACGCCAAAAUCGAUUAUUUUGACUCUUCCAUCCUUGUCCAUGACUAAAUUACUAGUCUUUACAUCUCUAUGAACAAUUUUCUUAGAAUGAAGGUAACUCAACCCUCUUGCAAUAUCUAGUGCUAUUUGAAUAACAGAAUUCAAUGGCAACUUUUUGAUAUGAUUUUUUAAGAGAUGUGAUCUCAGAGUGCCUCCAGGGACAUAUUCAACCACGAUACCAUAUUCGAAUGAUCGUUGUUUUUCCAAUGAACGAUUUCUCAACCACGGGAUGCAAUUGAAGACGUUAGAUCUUCACAAGAGGAUAUUUUCCGAAUUUAGUGAUGAACAAUCAAGAGUGUCAUACACUGGUAUGAAGUUUUAAUCACUUGUUAUUGCAUUAAAAUUUUAUCUUAUGCUCAUUGAGUGGUUUUAGUGUGCUAUGAGCAUAAUAUUCAGAUCUGAUAUUGUUUGUGUUUUAUUCAAGUUUUCACAUUUGUUUAUAGCAAAAAUCUAUCAAGAACAAAUAAAAGCGGCAAAAGGGAGGUUGCCUGAUAGUAGUGUAAAGGUGCAUACAACUUAUUAGUUAUGUUGAAAGAUGACGACUUGUGAGAUUGUUUUGAGUAUGAUGUUGUUAUAACAUUUGGUAUCUAAUGUGAACAGCUGAAAAUAGUACUACAAUUUCUGUUUUCUAAUAAUUAAAAAGUGCGAAUCAUUUUAGACAAUCCAAUUAAAGCUUAAACAUCUAUGACAUAGCAACAUGGUUUAAUAAGAAUUUCACAUGGUUGUCUCCAUUCUAAAAUAAUGGUACUGCCAAAUUUAGAGAGGGACCGCUCAUGCAUUACAUUUCCUUAAACCUGGUACUCAAACAAACACAACAUCUUUGCCUGAAAGGUUGAAAUACUUGGUGUUGUUUCGUUCCAACGUGAUACUGAGUUUCCAACCAAGUCCUCCAAUAUGACAUCAUGAACAGAUGUAAGAGUUCUGUUGUGGGGUUGUUGCGCAACUGAACCUCUCUUGGGAGUUCUCACUAUCUUCCAGGUGGCAAUAAUGAAGAAAUUGCACUUUACUUUAAUGCACAAGAUCAGGGGUGUGUGUUGAUAGUCCAAGAAUGAUGCAUUUUAAGUCAAUAUUUUUGGAGAGCUCGAACCAGCAUCCAAAAGAUAAGAUACUGACUCCAUAUCACAGCAAUUAGGUGUCUGGCAACUUCAUGUUUUCCUCAAAAGAUGUGAAAAAGCACCCAACCAGGACAAUACGACAUCAGGAAUUCUGUAAAAGAUUUUAAAGUAAGUCAAUGGACAU